GACCAAACUCCACCUGACAUAUAUUUAGAAAGUCCUUCCUUCAACGAUAUUCACCAAACGAAACGAGAAAUCGCGCCGCUUUCCUCACCGUCCCUCCUGUGUAUAUAUAGCAAGGCAGGGGACGCCACGCCACAACGCCCUCCUCCUCUGCCCGCCGCUCACCUCAACCUUCACCUCAGCAGGUCUCCUUCACUCCACUUCGCCCGCCCUGCCCCCGCCCCUCCAACAUUUUUUACCUGAGCCGGCAGUCAGCACGCAGCACUCCGAGCCAUGAGGGUGACAGCAGUAGUGGCAGCGAUGCUGUGCCUGGUCUCCGCUGGUCUCGCCUCGCCGUUGCCUCAGGAAGGACAAGAGCGUCUCUUCCCGAGCAUCAACAUCAACAACUUACUGGACCCAAUUGUCACCAGCCUGCUUAGUAACGCCAACGUAGAGGCUCUUGCUGAACUCUUCUUUCCUUGUGAAGAGAAUAAAUCCUGCAUUAUAGUGAGGAAUGCCAAUUUAAACUGAGCCACCGCUACUCCCUGCCUGCCUCGUGUGGACCUCGGAGAACUGACUGGCUGGCGUUGCACUGACACAAUCAACUCAUAUGCGAAAAGUUGCUGGUUAUCUUUCUCCAUGUGGCCGUUGUGUUGACCUGAGUUUCGCCCUUAAUCUUAGCCAUUCACAAUGCCUCAUCGUAGCACUAUAUGACCCCUGUUGUUUGGUGAUUCAUGCUCCUCCUCUUCCUCCUCUACCGCUGAAAUGGCUCCUGACACCAAGCAGUAUUCACAAACGCUUUGCUCUCUUACAACAUUUAUAUUCAAAGGCUUUCUCGGUAGUGUUUAUCCUGUUAAUAAUGUAGAAAUCUUGUUAGUCUGCCGCUAGAAAGUUAAAAAGACCCUUGAAAACCCCUGCAACUUAAUGGAUACGGAGCCUUUGGAAUAGAGAGGUGUGGCGCGGUAGUGUUUCAAAAGUGUUGCCCCGCGUAAACACUGUGUCGCCUCCAGCCACCACCUUCCCUACCUUUACUUCUUGCCAAAACAGCACGGCAAAUCACGUUUUCCUGUACUUAUUCUUAACCGCUUCAGUACUGAAGCGCAUUUUUACCUUGAAAUUUGUGUGCGAUUAGACAACUUUAUCGACAUUAGGAAGAGUCUAUGGAGGUCAGAAGAUUAAUGGCUAGAGGCUUCACUAUUCUAAUCCCCCAUAUUAGUUCCUGAAGCUCUAUAAAAAUCACCAAAUAGUCACCAAUAUUAAUAUGGAAACACGUAUUCUAUAAUAGUACACGUUCUUAAUUGCUGUUCCUGUUCCUUUGCUCCUUGUCUGCUCCUUUGUGUGUGUGUGUGUGUGUGUGUGUGUGUGUGUGUGUGUGUGUGUGUGUGUGUGUUGCGCCACUGCCAGCUUCACCUUACUUCACAUAUGUUGCUCUUAUAUCUUUAGUCAGUUUAUUUCGUUGUUUUUCGCUUUUCGUCUCUUUUUUUGAAGUGUUUCUCUAGUCUGUUGCUUUCUGUUUAGUGUGUUGCCUGUAAAUAGUCUCUCGUUUUCUUUUCUUUUUUUCUUUUCUUUUUUUUUGCCAUUUUCUGUUGUUAGUUUUCUACCUGUUUGUUUUCUACCUGGUUUUUUUUUUCUACUUGUUUUUUUUUCUACCUUUUUUUCAUACCUGUUAUUAGUUUUCUACCUAUUUAUUUUUCCACCUGUUGUUUCUCCUACUUGCUCUUUUCUUCUCUUUCUUUCUUUCUUUCUUCUCUUUUUUUUCUACCUGUUGCUUUUUCUACCUUUCGUUUAUUCUUACCUGCUUCUUUUCUUAUUAUUUUUCCACCUGUUCUUUUCUACAUGUUUCUUUUCUCUUUGUUUUUUUUUUCUAUUAUUUUCUACCUAUUCUUUUCUCUACCUGUUGUUAAUUUACCCUGGAGGAAAUUAUAUUCAUUUAUUUUUAUUUCUUUACAUGUUUAAGAAUAAGGAAACAAUAAAAACACGAUGAAAAAGAAAAGGAAAAUGAAAAAAAAAACGCAGAGGGAAGGAAAACAACGAAGCAAUUUCCACAUUUUUUUUUCUUCCUUUCAGUAAUUGAGUAUCAGAAAAAAAAUUAAGAGAGAGGAAAAAAAACGUGUCUUCAUUGUUGGUGUGUUCGUUCGUUCGUGUUCGUGUCUGUGUGUUUGUGUGUUUGUCUGUGUUUGUCCCGUCCAAUAAAAGUUGAUAUUUGCUA
RNAcentral lists this long non-coding RNA (2185 nucleotides) under Portunus trituberculatus (swimming crab). RNAcentral's name for it is "uncharacterized LOC123503064". The record is from RNAcentral. Lineage: Eukaryota; Metazoa; Arthropoda; Malacostraca; Decapoda; Portunidae.